AGAAUUGACGGGGCCGCACAAGCGGUGGAGCAUGUGGUUAAUUCGAAGCAACGCGAAGAACCUUACCAGGUCUUGACAUCCCGAUGCUAUUUCUAGAGAUAGAAAGUUACUUCGGUACAUCGGUGACAGGUGGUGCAUGGUUGUCGUCAGCUCGUGUCGUGAGAUGUUGGGUUAAGUCCCGCAACGAGCGCAACCCCUAUUGUUAGUUGCCAUCAUUCAGUUGGGCACUCUAGCGAGACUGCCGGUAAUAAACCGGAGGAAGGUAGGGAUGACGUCAAAUCAUCAUGCCCCUUAUGACCUGGGCUACACACGUGCUACAAUGGUUGGUACAACGAGUUGCGAGUCGGUGACGGCGAGCUAAUCUCUUAAAGCCAAUCUCAGUUCGGAUUGUAGGCUGCAACUCGCCUACAUGAAGUCGGAAUCGCUAGUAAUCGCGGAUCAGCACGCCGCGGUGAAUACGUUCCCGGGCCUU
This 472-nucleotide ribosomal RNA is filed under the name uncultured Streptococcus sp. Its description in RNAcentral is "bacterial SSU rRNA". It matches the Rfam family "Bacterial small subunit ribosomal RNA", at positions 907 to 1382 of the family's 1533-position model. The record is from RNAcentral. Lineage: Bacteria; Bacillati; Bacillota; Bacilli; Lactobacillales; Streptococcaceae.